GUGUGGGGGUGUUUGUUCAACUAGUGGACGAAGGUAGGUUAGGCAGGAACAAAAAGAAAUCCUCUUUUGUAGGGCAGAAUUCAUUGUUCAGUGUGAGUUUUGAUGUAUACAAGGAAAAAUAUA
Small nucleolar RNA from Psammomys obesus (fat sand rat), 123 nucleotides. RefSeq annotates it as small nucleolar RNA SNORA40. NCBI's taxonomy places the organism in Eukaryota, Metazoa, Chordata, Mammalia, Rodentia, Muridae. The record is from RefSeq and is a predicted model, not a curated record. The transcript has a single exon.